Molecule: transfer RNA, 72 nt
Filed under: Bos taurus (domestic cattle)
Lineage: Eukaryota; Metazoa; Chordata; Mammalia; Artiodactyla; Bovidae
Also listed under: 5 other names
Rfam family: tRNA
About the family: Transfer RNA (tRNA) molecules are approximately 80 nucleotides in length.
Source: Rfam by way of RNAcentral
UCCCAGAUAGCUCAGCUGGUAAAGAAUCUGUCUGCAAUGCAGGUGAUCCCAGUUCUAUUCCUGGUUCGGGAA